This is a long non-coding RNA of Scophthalmus maximus (turbot), 2125 nucleotides long. Lineage: Eukaryota; Metazoa; Chordata; Actinopteri; Pleuronectiformes; Scophthalmidae. The record is from Ensembl.
AUGGCGCGUACUCACGGGAAGCGACGACCGCGGAAGAGGCCAGACCGACAGACCGUCCCGAUGUCGCCGGGCCUUGUGUCAAUCCGCCCGACAACGCGUGGUGGGUUCAGUCCGUUCAACAUUACCGGAACCAGUUUAUAUCCACGUCUCGCCCCCAAACUCUCCCUCCGUGUCCCGGCGCGGGACCGUUCGGUCACCGGAGUCUUGCUGCCCGCCGUCUUCCGGAAACGAAAGGCACUCGGGAGGCCAGCUGUCGCCGACAAAUCGGGGACCCCUUCGGCAACAAUGUCCAGAGGAGACAAGAGACCAAAAGAAGGUUGUUUCCACUCUUCCUCUAUCUUUUCAGUGUAUGCAUGCUAUUUUUAUUUUUGAUCUUUGUGCUCGUCUCCUUUCAAGGUCACUGGGUGUUAACAUCCUGUUCCCUUGCCUUCGAAUCUGAAUGUGCUGCACACGAUGCAACAUGCAACUGUUACUGGCAGUCCAUUUUUUUCUCUCCAAUUAAGAGAUAGAUAUGAAGGAAAAGGAACCCAUCAGAGUCCUUGACUUCAAAUCAAAUAUGCACUUCCACUGCAGGCAUGUUCCGUGUGUCACUGUCUUACAUACAUAAUUAAUUCUGCUGGACAUUCAAACAAAUCCUCAUUAGGCAGCUACAUACAUUUUUUUCUCCUUUCUUUCUUUUUACUUUCACGAAUGAUGAUUGAUUGUGCGGGGCCAAAAGUUCGUCGGUGGUCCCUCGUCAACGGCGUCGGCUUCAGGCGCCGACUGCGCGGCUGAUUGGCUCACUUACCAAAUGCAGAACUGGCUCAUUUCGAUAUCCCGGCCGGACCAUUUCUCUGAUGAAAGUCUCGCCUUGACGAGGCAAGUCCGACAUCUGUCUGGGGACUUGUCUUGCGGAUUUUUCACUUCGUGCAGAAUACUGUACACAUCCUCCUUUUAAGAGUUGGGCUUCAUUCCAGUGAGAUUCAGUAACGCUGACUGAAUUAUUGACCUUAUAGAGGAACCCCAGAUAGUAUUUACACACUGUGACACUAGAACGCUCCAUUGGAACAAGAUAUGUUGUUUGUUAUGAUAAAACGUGUUUGCGUCGGUGUAUAGUCGAUUCCAUAUUUUCCAUUUUCCAUUCAGCAUCCUAAUGACAACCAUAUUUGUGUGUCCGCUUGCUGCGUCAUACGCUCACCAGGCGAUUUCCUAGGAACAACAGUUCAUUCCCGGAAUCAUCCAAUCAGCUAAUUGGCGUGGCGGCAGAAGUGCAGCGUAGAAAUGCAGAAACAGGUCAGGAGCUUCACGUCAAACAUCAGACCAGGGAAGAAAAGGGGGAUGUCAGUGAUUUCACUAUGGUUCAACAGUUGGUAGUUUCAGUAUUUAUAAGACAACCGAUCUCUCUGGACGUCGUCUGGCAACUGGAGAGACCAGGUUGAUGAACCUGGAGGCACUGGCAGAAGAAUGAUCAGCUGGGUUCAGAUAAUCAUGUGGCAAGUGGAGGAAAAGAGCUAGGGGGGCGUCUUUACCGCAUCAGCAGACCCAUCUACCGGCCGAUGCCCGGAGGGAAAGAUCGUUCCGCGGCGGCGCCGCCGGCGCAGCGGCUCGGGAAGUUGACGAGGUGAUAAGUUGAUCAGGCGCCCAGGUGAAUUGGCGGGAGCGGGUCGCCGAUGGCCACGCAGACAAGGAUGAAAUGAGGGAUGGAGGCAGCCUAACCACAACUGGGAGGGCGAGAGAAAGAUCCUGACAGAGUAUUGGACCGAGGCAGCGAGAGUAUGAGUCCGAAUGACAUCACGCUGCAGCGCGGCCAACACGUCUCCAGUGUGGGUGGCAAUGUGACAUGUUGGUUUAGUUUCUCUUGGUGGAUUUAGUUUUUCUUUUCUGUACAACCAACGGUGGCAUUUCCGUCCAAUUUUGGCUGGAUACUCUUCUAUCGCCUUCAGACCGUCCUCGCGAAGAGAACGACAGCGUGGGUCGUCCAGGAGGAUGGAAGGGUUAACGAAAUGUGCCCAACAACCAUUGUCAGCUUAGGAAAACACAUCUGUUGCUCCGAGUCCCAAGAGGAUCUUGGAUGCAAACUUCUCACGAGGCACAAAGUCACAACAUCUUUUUCGACGGCGGCGAGUUGAAAAAGCCUCCCGCAAAC